This 1909-nucleotide unclassified non-coding RNA is filed under the name Dendronephthya gigantea. RNAcentral describes it as "uBX domain-containing protein 6-like, transcript variant X2". Lineage: Eukaryota; Metazoa; Cnidaria; Anthozoa; Malacalcyonacea; Nephtheidae. The record is from RNAcentral.
ACCUACAAAUAUAUACAUAACAAAAUAAUCUGUGUAAAGGUUUCGUUUUCGAGGUUUUGGACGGAUUUAAGUGCUUUAGUAAGGAAUAUUUACCAGUUCAUUGUUGGAUCAAAGUGCUACAGGGUACGGUAAUGCUAUUUGAACAAUGAACUUAUAUCGGAAAGCCAAGUUAGCCGUGAAAUUUCGCAAAGCUGGUGAAGGUCAUGUGCUAAGUGAAAGUUCAUCAUCACAGACCCAAAGUCAGCCCAAUGUUCCACAGCAACCACGAAGAGCACCAACCUCAGAUGCACAGCGUGCCGGACAGGCAGCUAUUGCAAGAUUUCAGCAGCAAGAAAAACAGCCUAAACGACCACAUUCUGCCACUACAACAUGGAAAUCACGUUCAAAUGAACCUGCAAGCAAACUGGAUGAUGGCCCAGGAGUGAAUGCAUCAAAAUUAAGAAGUGAAGUGGAAGCAGAAUUUAUUAGAGAGUCGGGAGCUUGUGGGUCAGGUGAACAACAGAAUUUUGAAAAGGAGGUUGUACACCAAGACUCAGCUCCAAUUCUUGCAGUCGCCGGUGUGUUCUUCAUUUGUCCAUUCUGCUCCGUCAGUUAUGUGCGACAAGAUAUCCGUGCUCACAUGGAUGACUGUCUCAAAGAGAGCUAUAAAAGUGACCAGAUAUUAACUCCAGUUAAUAUGAUCAGGUCUUUGAACAAAGAUCAAAGUAAAGUAGAUGGUUGUGUUGAUGUUCUGUGCAGAUAUUUGGACAACAUUUUGAAGAAUCCAGACGAAAGUAAAUACCGUAGAAUAAAGCAGGGAAAUAAAGUAUUUCAGGAAAGAGUAAAACCUGUGAAAGGAAGCAUCGAAUUUUUGCUUGCCUGUGGUUUUUCUGAGCAACCAUUACCAGAUAACCCAGGCGAGAUGUGCUUUAUUAUCGAAGAAGGGGCUACCGAUGUGACAGAGAAACUAAAUAUCAUGAAGGAAAUCCUUGUUGCAACAGAGACUUGCAAGCCGAAGCUGGACAGAUCUCUCAGGGUACUCAAGCCGUCAUCAAGUAAUAGUGAAACUGUUCAACUUCCUGAGGGGUUUUUUGACCUAAGUUCAGAUGAAGUGAAGAAGAUGCAAACGGAACGAUUAGUGGAAGUUGAUCGUAAUUCUCAGUUAAGAACUCGUGCGAUGAGAGAAAGAGAAGAGAAAAAUCCAGCAAGGAUAUAUCGAUUCACGCUAUUACGUGUGAAGUUUCCUGAUGGGCACAUCUUACAAGGCACAUUCAAUGCUCGUGAGAAAUGUCAAUCCCUCGAGAACUUUGUGAGAGAACAGCUCCAAAAUGAUUGGCUGCCUUUUGUAUUGUCUGAGCCUGGCGGUGGAAUACUCACUCACGAGGAGUCGAGUUUCGAGGAACUUGGACUGGUUCCAGCCGCUAUUCUACAUUUCAACUGGGAUACAGCAGUGCUCGCAGACCUUGAAGCAAGUGGGAAGUCUAUGGAAACGAACUAUUUAAAGGUGACUUGUCCAUUGGGUUGAAGAACUUAUUGCCUCAACUGCUGACAAUUUACCUGAAAUAAAAAUAAACUUCCCUGCAUAAAAAGUACAAUAUAAAGCAUCCAGAUGACGUUUUUAACAACUAUUUCUUCAGAUGCUCUAACACGCGCGACCUGCAGAGAAGCUGCAGAGAAGAAUUUCUCUGCAGCUUUUCGUAGGUGAAUUCGGCUCUCCUGGUAGAAUGAUUUGGAGUCUUUAUAUUGCAUAUAUUCACUCUUAUUCACAAAAGAAACUUAUGACAACAUACUGUGUAGAUUUUCUUGACAAGAUCCAUAGCGGUAAGUGGCUGUCCCUUGAUUAAUUGCCUUAAAUUCUUCAAGGAUCUGUAAAAUAUUCAGACUAUCACAAAGAAGAUACUAUUUUUCAUGGAUGGUGGCUUAGGUUAUC